This 441-nucleotide ribosomal RNA is filed under the name uncultured bacterium. RNAcentral's name for it is "partial 16S ribosomal RNA". It matches the Rfam family "Bacterial small subunit ribosomal RNA", at positions 338 to 795 of the family's 1533-position model. The record is from RNAcentral.
CCUACGGGAGGCAGCAGUGGGGAAUAUUGCACAAUGGGGGCAACCCUGAUGCAGCAACGCCGCGUGAAGGAAGACGGUUUUCGGAUUGUAAACUUCUGUUCUUAGUGAAGAAUAAUGACGGUAGCUAAGGAGCAAGCCACGGCAAACUACGUGCCAGCAGCCGCGGUAAUACGUAGGUGCCACGCGUUGUCCGGAAUUACUGGGUGUAAAGGGAGCGCAGGCGGGAAGCCAAGUCAGCUGUGAAAACUACGGGCUUAACUUGUAGACUGCAGUUGAAACUGGUUUGCUUGAGUGAAGUAGAGGUAGGCGGAAUUCCGGGUGUAGCGGUGAAAUGCGUAGAUAUUCGGAGGAACACCGAUGGCGAAGGCGGCCAACUGGGCUUUAACUGACGCUGAGGCUCGAAGGUGUGGGGAGCGAACAGGAUUAGAUACCCUAGUAGUC